UACGUAGGUGACAAGCGUUGUCCGGAUUUACUGGGCGUAAAGAGCGCGCAGGCGGUCGUUCAAGUCGAGUGUGAAAGCCCCCGGCUCAACUGGGGAGGGUCACUCGAUACUGAUCGACUCGAAGGCAGGAGAGGGUAGUGGAAUCCCCGGUGUAGUGGUGAAAUGCGUAGAUAUCGGGAGGAACACCAGUGGCGAAGGCGACUACCUGGCCUGUUCUUGACGCUGAGGCGCGAAAGCUAGGGGAGCAAACGGG
Molecule: ribosomal RNA, 253 nt
Filed under: uncultured bacterium
Lineage: Bacteria
Description: partial 16S ribosomal RNA
Rfam family: Bacterial small subunit ribosomal RNA
Source: RNAcentral